This 364-nucleotide ribosomal RNA is filed under the name Apodileptus visscheri. RNAcentral describes it as "partial small subunit ribosomal RNA". It matches the Rfam family "Eukaryotic small subunit ribosomal RNA", at positions 30 to 432 of the family's 1831-position model. Lineage: Eukaryota; Ciliophora; Litostomatea; Haptorida; Dileptidae. The record is from RNAcentral.
GCUUGUCUCAAAGAUUAAGCCAUGCAUGUCUUAGUGUAAAUAACUCUUAUGAAACUGCGAAUGGCUCAUUAAAUCAGUUAUCAAAUACGUGAUGGUCGCCUACUACAUGGAUAACUGUAGAAAAACUAGAGCUAAUACAUGCCAUAACCGUAAGGUUGUAUUUAUUAGAUAUUCCUGGUAGGUGAUUCAUAAUAACUUAGCGAAUCGUGACUCGUUCACGAUAAAUCAUUCAAGUUUCUGCCCUAUCAUGCUUUCGAUGGUAGUGUAUUGGACUACCAUGGCUCUCACGGGUAACGGAGAAUUAGGGUUCGAUUCCGGAGAAGGAGCCUGAGAAACGGCUACUACAUCUAAGGAAGGCAGCAGG